RNAcentral lists this ribosomal RNA (207 nucleotides) under uncultured Mesotoga sp. RNAcentral describes it as "partial 16S ribosomal RNA". It matches the Rfam family "Bacterial small subunit ribosomal RNA", at positions 568 to 774 of the family's 1533-position model. Lineage: Bacteria; Thermotogati; Thermotogota; Thermotogae; Kosmotogales; Kosmotogaceae. The record is from RNAcentral.
AGCGUAGGUGGCCUAACACGUCAACUGUGAAAACCCGGAGCUCAACUCCGGACUUGCAGUUGAAACUGGUAGGCUUGAGGACGGUAGAGGAAGACGGAACUGCCAGUGUAGGGGUAAAAUCCUUAGAUAUUGGCAGGAACGCCGGUGACGAAGGUGGUUUUCUGGGCCGGUUCUGACACUGAUGCUCGAAAGCCAGGGGAGCGAACG